Molecule: ribosomal RNA, 2923 nt
Filed under: Klebsiella pneumoniae
Lineage: Bacteria; Pseudomonadati; Pseudomonadota; Gammaproteobacteria; Enterobacterales; Enterobacteriaceae
Description: bacterial LSU rRNA
Rfam family: Bacterial large subunit ribosomal RNA
Source: RNAcentral
GGGUUGUGAGGUUAAGCGACUAAGCGUACACGGUGGAUGCCCUGGCAGUCAGAGGCGAUGAAGGACGUGCUAAUCUGCGAAAAGCGUCGGUAAGGUGAUAUGAACCGUUAUAACCGGCGAUGUCCGAAUGGGGAAACCCAGUGUGAUUCGUCACACUAUCGUUAACUGAAUACAUAGGUUAACGAGGCGAACCGGGGGAACUGAAACAUCUAAGUACCCCGAGGAAAAGAAAUCAACCGAGAUUCCCCCAGUAGCGGCGAGCGAACGGGGAGCAGCCCAGAGUCUGAAUCAGCUUGUGUGUUAGUGGAACGGUCUGGAAAGUCCGACGGUACAGGGUGAUAGUCCCGUACACCAAAAUGCACAGGCUGUGAACUCGAAGAGUAGGGCGGGACACGUGGUAUCCUGUCUGAAUAUGGGGGGACCAUCCUCCAAGGCUAAAUACUCCUGACUGACCGAUAGUGAACCAGUACCGUGAGGGAAAGGCGAAAAGAACCCCGGCGAGGGGAGUGAAAAAGAACCUGAAACCGUGUACGUACAAGCAGUGGGAGCACCUUCGGGUGUGACUGCGUACCUUUUGUAUAAUGGGUCAGCGACUUAUAUUCUGUAGCAAGGUUAACCGUAUAGGGGAGCCGCAGGGAAACCGAGUCUUAACUGGGCGUUAAGUUGCAGGGUAUAGACCCGAAACCCGGUGAUCUAGCCAUGGGCAGGUUGAAGGUUGGGUAACACUAACUGGAGGACCGAACCGACUAAUGUUGAAAAAUUAGCGGAUGACUUGUGGCUGGGGGUGAAAGGCCAAUCAAACCGGGAGAUAGCUGGUUCUCCCCGAAAGCUAUUUAGGUAGCGCCUCGUGAACUCAUCUUCGGGGGUAGAGCACUGUUUCGGCUAGGGGGUCAUCCCGACUUACCAACCCGAUGCAAACUACGAAUACCGAAGAAUGUUAUCACGGGAGACACACGGCGGGUGCUAACGUCCGUCGUGAAGAGGGAAACAACCCAGACCGCCAGCUAAGGUCCCAAAGUCAUGGUUAAGUGGGAAACGAUGUGGGAAGGCACAGACAGCCAGGAUGUUGGCUUAGAAGCAGCCAUCAUUUAAAGAAAGCGUAAUAGCUCACUGGUCGAGUCGGCCUGCGCGGAAGAUGUAACGGGGCUAAACCAUGCACCGAAGCUGCGGCAGCGACACUAUGUGUUGUUGGGUAGGGGAGCGUUCUGUAAGCCUGCGAAGGUGUGCUGUGAGGCAUGCUGGAGGUAUCAGAAGUGCGAAUGCUGACAUAAGUAACGAUAAAGCGGGUGAAAAGCCCGCUCGCCGGAAGACCAAGGGUUCCUGUCCAACGUUAAUCGGGGCAGGGUGAGUCGACCCCUAAGGCGAGGCCGAAAGGCGUAGUCGAUGGGAAACAGGUUAAUAUUCCUGUACUUGGUGUUACUGCGAAGGGGGGACGGAGAAGGCUAUGUUAGCCGGGCGACGGUUGUCCCGGUUUAAGCAUGUAGGCUGGUUAUCCAGGCAAAUCCGGAUAAUCAAGGCUGAGGUGUGAUGACGAGGCACUACGGUGCUGAAGUAACAAAUGCCCUGCUUCCAGGAAAAGCCUCUAAGCAUCAGGUAACAUCAAAUCGUACCCCAAACCGACACAGGUGGUCAGGUAGAGAAUACCAAGGCGCUUGAGAGAACUCGGGUGAAGGAACUAGGCAAAAUGGUGCCGUAACUUCGGGAGAAGGCACGCUGGUGUGUAGGUGAAGUCCCUGCGGAUGGAGCUGAGACCAGUCGAAGAUACCAGCUGGCUGCAACUGUUUAUUAAAAACACAGCACUGUGCAAACACGAAAGUGGACGUAUACGGUGUGACGCCUGCCCGGUGCCGGAAGGUUAAUUGAUGGGGUUAUCCGUAAGGAGAAGCUCUUGAUCGAAGCCCCGGUAAACGGCGGCCGUAACUAUAACGGUCCUAAGGUAGCGAAAUUCCUUGUCGGGUAAGUUCCGACCUGCACGAAUGGCGUAAUGAUGGCCAGGCUGUCUCCACCCGAGACUCAGUGAAAUUGAACUCGCUGUGAAGAUGCAGUGUACCCGCGGCAAGACGGAAAGACCCCGUGAACCUUUACUAUAGCUUGACACUGAACAUUGAGCCUUGAUGUGUAGGAUAGGUGGGAGGCUUUGAAGCGUGGACGCCAGUCUGCGUGGAGCCAACCUUGAAAUACCACCCUUUAAUGUUUGAUGUUCUAACGUUGGCCCCUGACCGGGGUUGCGGACAGUGUCUGGUGGGUAGUUUGACUGGGGCGGUCUCCUCCCAAAGCGUAACGGAGGAGCACGAAGGUUAGCUAAUCCUGGUCGGACAUCAGGAGGUUAGUGCAAUGGCAUAAGCUAGCUUGACUGCGAGCGUGACGGCGCGAGCAGGUGCGAAAGCAGGUCAUAGUGAUCCGGUGGUUCUGAAUGGAAGGGCCAUCGCUCAACGGAUAAAAGGUACUCCGGGGAUAACAGGCUGAUACCGCCCAAGAGUUCAUAUCGACGGCGGUGUUUGGCACCUCGAUGUCGGCUCAUCACAUCCUGGGGCUGAAGUAGGUCCCAAGGGUAUGGCUGUUCGCCAUUUAAAGUGGUACGCGAGCUGGGUUUAGAACGUCGUGAGACAGUUCGGUCCCUAUCUGCCGUGGGCGCUGGAGAAUUGAGGGGGGCUGCUCCUAGUACGAGAGGACCGGAGUGGACGCAUCACUGGUGUUCGGGUUGUCAUGCCAAUGGCACUGCCCGGUAGCUAAAUGCGGAAGAGAUAAGUGCUGAAAGCAUCUAAGCACGAAACUUGCCCCGAGAUGAGUUCUCCCUGAGACUUUAAGUCUCCUGAAGGAACGUUGAAGACGACGACGUUGAUAGGCCGGGUGUGUAAGCGCAGCGAUGCGUUGAGCUAACCGGUACUAAUGAACCGUGAGGCUUAACCUUACAACGCCGAAG